CCCCAGGUUGGAGCCGAUUAGCGCUACAUGCUCUGCGUUCCCAUCAUUCAAAGGGAUCGGUGCCAGAUCUUCGAUUGGGGCGCCCCUCUCUUCGGUGAGGUCAUCAUGAGCAUCUAGUCCAUCGACGGGACAGGGGUCAGAUUGAUCGCUUCUUUGCAAGGCGAUGUUGUAGCAGUGUCUGGCCAGGGCUUGGUCUCUCCGGACCUCUCCGAUCCCCUGGUUGGUGGGGAACUUCAACUUCAAAUGGUAGGUUGAUACGA
Molecule: long non-coding RNA, 260 nt
Filed under: Elaeis guineensis (African oil palm)
Lineage: Eukaryota; Viridiplantae; Streptophyta; Magnoliopsida; Arecales; Arecaceae
Description: long non-coding RNA (EGUI_LNC077435)
Source: RNAcentral